Molecule: RNA transcript, 5706 nt
Organism: Anguilla anguilla (European eel)
Lineage: Eukaryota; Metazoa; Chordata; Actinopteri; Anguilliformes; Anguillidae
Gene name: pantothenate kinase 1
Exons: 7
Source: RefSeq, a predicted model, not a curated record
CUAAUACAUUCGGUAUAAGUGUCGAUGUACAAUUUUUUUAUGAGUAAGAUGGUUUUUUAAUUGUAAGGUAUUCGUUCAGUUAAUUCUAACAUCAGUGUACUGUUCUGUUCUCACAAAAAUUAGGGUUUAUCAAAAAGCAAUAUUCGUUCCUUCAGUUCUCCCUCAUGAGUGAAUGGGGGUGGGGUGACAUGUUGCAAGUGACGUAGAACCGGCUGUUUAACUCGGAAGCUACUGCAGGAGAGAAGCAUGAAGGAGAAAAAAAUGACCGACAGUGACCUCCACCUAGAGUUGUAGCUGUUGUGUUUCCGGCGAUUUGUGAAAUGCAACUCAUCUUGUAGUACACAUACAUGAUAUUACGAUAGGUAUUUGAAAAAAUAUAUAGAUUACCGAGUGAAAAUCCGGUGUGAGCUUCCUCUCUUUUCUUAUUAGCCUUACUGUUAGCUCUGUGUUGUCUGUUUAAAAUCAUGGAUAAGGCGAAAUCAAUUGCGGAACAGAACGGAUUAGGUAUUUGUCACGCGAAUGGACUGCAAAAUGGCUUUCAUUCUCAGCCACUAACCAACGGAACGUGUGCUCAUGGUCCAAAUGGAAGCGGUGGUACUAGUAGUAGCGGUGGCCAUAGUGGAAUCGAAAAUUUCCACCAUCUUCAUCAGGACCUACAGAAUAAUGGAUCCCCUGCUAAAAGGUGCAGACUUCGUAGAAGAAUGGACUCGGGAAAGAAAAACAGACCGCCCUUCCCCUGGUUUGGGAUGGACAUCGGCGGGACCCUGGUGAAGCUGGUGUACUUCGAGCCCAAGGACAUCACGGCGGAGGAGGAGCAGGAGGAGGUGGAGAACCUGAAGAGCAUCCGCAAGUACCUGACCUCCAACACAGCCUACGGGAACACGGGCGUCCGGGACGUGCACCUGGAGCUGAAGAACCUGACCAUGUGCGGCCGCAAGGGCAACCUGCACUUCAUCCGCUUCCCCACCCAGGCCAUGUACCGCUUCAUCCAGAUGGGCCGCGACAAGAACUUCUCCAGCCUGCACACCACCCUCUGCGCCACCGGCGGCGGGGCCUACAAGUUCGAGGAGGACUUCAGAACGGUGGCCGACCUUCAGCUGCUGAAGCUGGACGAGCUGGACUGCCUCAUCCAGGGCCUCUUGUAUGUUGAUUCUGUGGGGUUCAACGGCCGCCCGGAGUGCUACUUUUUCGAGAACCCCUCUGACCCUCAGAACUGUGAAAAGAGUCCGUGUUGUCUGGACAACCCCUUCCCCAUGCUGCUGGUGAACAUCGGUUCCGGGGUCAGCAUUCUGGCCGUAUAUUCCAAGGACAACUACAAACGGGUCACGGGCACCAGCCUGGGCGGAGGCACGUUCCUGGGCCUCUGCUGCCUGCUGACCGGCUGCGAGACCUUCGAGGAAGCCCUGGAGAUGGCGGCCAAGGGGGACAGCACCAACGUGGACAAGCUGGUGAAGGACAUCUACGGCGGGGACUACGAGCGCUUCAGCCUGCAGGGCUCUGCCGUGGCGUCCAGCUUUGGUCACAUGAUGAGCAAGGAGAAGAGAGACACCAUCAGUAAAGAGGACCUUGCCAGAGCCACUCUGGUCACUAUCACCAACAACAUUGGCUCUAUCGCUCGCAUGUGUGCGGUGAAUGAGCACACAGCAAAUGAAGACAUUUUAACCCACAGCUGGCAUUUUCAGUUUCAUAAAUAGAUGGCAACAUAACCCAAGUCAGUGCAGGAACGGUCAACAAGAUAUGUUUGUUUUAUACUUGAACUUUACUGUAUUUAGAUAGGAACUGACAGACAGUUGUUUUGUUAGACGUGGUUGUAAUAAAGCCUGCUCAAGUCGUGGUCGUUCUCUUUCAGAAAAUCGAAAGGGUCGUUUUUGUUGGGAAUUUCCUGCGAAUCAACACAGUGUCCACAAAACUGCUGGCGUAUGCCAUGGACUUCUGGUCUAAAGGACAGCUUAAAGCUUUGUUCCUGGAGCAUGAGGGUUAUUUUGGUGCGGUGGGUGCCUUCCUCGAACUGCUGAAGAUGACGGACGACCUGUGAGGGGACACAGAACACCUCUCAACUGAGAAGCUGCUGUGAAGAUAUGAGAGAGCCACUAUAUGAACUGGGGAAAAGCCAUUUUAGUAAUUUAAUGACUGUAAAUAUUGCAAUUUUUUCCCUCUCUUUUCCCCUCAGAUAAAGAUUUUUAGUAACUAAUUUAAAUCCUAAUGCAGUCUGGAGAUGAGGUGGAUAUACGUGAGCUGUUCACAAGCAAACUUUCCCGGUACUGUGUGUAAAUAUAUAUAUGUAUAUAUAUAUGUGUGUGUGUGUAUAUAUAUAUACAUAUAUAUGUAUUUUUAGAAAGUGCGCUAACGCCAAAUCCUACUGACCUUUUUGUUCUAAUUUCAUUGCUGUUUUUUUAUUUUUUAUUUGUUGUUAGUUUUAAAGUUGUGAGGACCUACUCAAGAAAAUGGACCGUAGGCGUAAUCAGUGAUCGCCCUGUCUCUCCAUACCAUCUGUGUCCAUUGCUUCCAUCAUGGUUCACAGUCCCUGCAAUCUCAUGUUCAUAGCAGGGGGAAGUGUCCUGGUCAGUUUUUGUUCAGGUACAAGUGGGACGAAUCAAGCAAUGGUAAUUGGUCAUUACAAAACAGCUUGUUGUCUGGACCCGUACUAGCAAAGGAGAUUGACCCUGCUGGUAGUCUUUUUGAGAUAGCCAGGUCUUGGAUCAAUUGUUAAUGUCCUCUGUAUCACAAUUUAUGCAGUAUUUUGAUGCUUUCAUGAACUCCAUCCCUCACAAACCUUUUUUGUCGGUGUGGAGAAAGCCGCAUUCACCCAGAAAGGCUGUGUAUUUUGGCGAAAAUCUUUUGCUAGAUCUGUCACAAAAAAAAAACAGUACAACAAAGAUAGAGGGUCCAUUUUCUUUACUCUUCUGAGGUGUACUUUUAAUCAGAAUCUGGUGAUUUUUGUAUUAUGUGUGUUAACAAUGAGUACCCCUAGGAGAUUUUUCUAUUUGACCUUUUGGUUAAUUUUCAUGACAUUUCAUGAUAGUAUCUUGGUUUCAAGUGAAACUACAAAGCUGGCCUGUGAACUGCUAUACAUCGCACACACUCUCCUGCCUUUUUAAAAGGAUUUUUUUUGAGAAGUUUGACCUUUCCUGUAAACCUUAACUGUUCACGUAGAAAAGCCUCACCCAUGACUGUUGGAUAAGGCCUUUCCUGCAGUCCUGCAUAGUCUCCAGUGGUAGACAAUGAGCAAAUGACAGCGCUUCGGUAGAGUUCUAUGUCUUAAACCUCUGACCUUACUAAAUCCAAACCGCUUUAAAGCCUCUGGUCAAACCAUAACCCACGUUUUCCCAAUUUUUUUAUGAAUGUAAACAACGUAAUGGUUUCAGUGACCAUUGCAAUUAAUUUAAAAUGUCUUGUGAAAUAGAAAAAGUGCAAAUGGUUGUGGUUACGUGAAUCCUGUUAAAUACCUUCCAAAAAAAUAAAAAAUAUAAUGCACCACAUUUCUCAGAUGUAAACUGGCAGCUUAGCCAGUCCUUUAAAAGAGAACUCAAAAUGUAGAUUUUUGAGGGGUCUUCUUCCCCCUUUAUAUGUAAAUACACUGUAGAAUUUAAACACUGCGCUGAGUAGAGCCGGCUUGAAUUAAAUAAAGGACAUAAGUGGCUGCUAGGGCCCUGUAGCUGAUUGGGGGCCCCCCAUUUAUUUUAACAUAUGUAUAUUAUUUAUAAUGGUGCGUUGGGGAGGGGCCCGAAUCAGAACCUGUUUUGGGCACCUCAAAGGCUAGGGCCGUGGCUGGUGCUGAGGUUUCUCUUUCCCGCCUCUCGUGUUCGAAAAACAAAGAGCGGAACAUCUCGUUGCCUAAGUGGAAUUACUGGAAUUGUACUGCUGCCUGAAAAAAGUUCAGUGUCUUCAACGGAAUGUGGGGUUUCUGUAAGACUGGUUCUUAGUAGUUAAUCCUUUAUUAUUCCCUCCAUUUUCGUUCCUUUCAUCUCUCAGAAUUGGUAUUUGCCUCAUGCUGUUGGGUGCUGCAUUCUCGUCAAAUCGGAUGACAGCACUCUAACAAUGGCCGUGUGCCGUCGCGCUCGAACCCGUGAGCUGUAUGCGGUUGCCUUCACUGAAGAGCAGAGCCCAGGGAUCUUGUUCAAUGCUUUCUUUUUUUGUCCGAGAUCGAAACUCUUUUUUGUUUUGCGGUGUUGGUGUUGUUUGACUUUGUAAUGUUGUUUUUUUUUUUUUGUGUAUUGUUUUGUGUGCUUUUGCUGUGAACUGUUGUUUUGGCCUGAGACCACCGAUGAACUCAUUGCCAUCACUGUAGAUUGUUUUAAAGCUAUAACUUCAAUUUUGUUGCACAAUUCGCCAAGGACGCCUAUGCGUCUCACUUAGUGAGUUCAUCGCUGUUUCUCCUACGGCUUCUCUGGCGUGCAUCCAGGAAAUGGUUGUUGGCGUUCCGGUGAGUGCAGGCAUAGGAACGGGAAUGAGCAGUCAUGUAACGAGGAACACCGUUCACCAUUGACCCCAUCCAGCAGCUAUGCAUGGAGUGAAUUAAACCCCGUCUUUUUAUAACCCGAAUCCAUGGCAACCGUUUUAACUUGAAUCGGCUGAUGGCUCUCGGCAGUUGCAAGAGAGACGACGGUGCGAGUGAAAUUGUGAAUGGGCAAUGAACACACGUUUUACGCCUUGCUCAUUGGAACCCUGAGGCUUCCAAUCUCUGCCUGUGGAGACUUUUUAAAAAUGUAUUUAUUUUUUUAUCAUGGCGUCUCGCGGUAAUGUGUUCUUGCCGGUUUUCUCCAUUCUCUGUUGAUAAUCAUGUUCAAUGACUACUGAGGAAGUAUUCCAUAAAAUUCUACUGUAUUUUCAUAACACUACCAUCUGGUAUUUUAGACUGAUUUUAUGCAGUUUACCCCUAUUGGUCAGCUAAGUACAUUUAAGACACUAUUUUGUUUAUUUUUUUAUAAUGUAACAAUGAUUGUGUCCUCAGUUUUGCAAAUUGUGUUUAUGAAAUGAAUAUAAUUGCACUUUGCAAAAUGUCUGAAAUACCAACUGAAACCAUAAUGUACAACAUGGCUCUUUUCACAAGAAUUGCCUUCUGAAUUGCCAUAUGUAUUAAUUAAAUCGGUGUUUGCUUCCUUGGUUAAUAAUAAUUACUAAAUCAUACCUUCAUUAAUGAAAAUAAUUCAGAGUGCAGAGAGACUAUUUUCCUUCAUUCAUAUACAUGUGUUCUGAAAUAUUCAUUAUUGAUUAGACAGGAUUUUAAUCUACCAUAAUUUGUGUAGCAAUUAAUGUUAACAUGCUAUGCAGAUGAAUUUAUAAUGAUCACUUAUCAAUGUUUUCUGAUGCUGCAAAUGUGCUGUCCUUCUGUGAUAGUUCAACAAACUACUUACUGUUUUGUAAAUACUCAGUAAAUGUGGGAAUUAUGCAAACUGAUUAUUAUUCUGAGUCAUAUUUUUUUAAAUGAAGACAUUUUAAAAUGAAGACGUUUGUUUUGAAACGGAAAAUAAUUAUGUUGUAUUUAAAUAUACCUGGCAAAAUCCCUGAAUGCCAAUGUUUUUUUUUGUCCAUCUGUAUGUACACUUUAUACACAACUCACUUUGAAGGAAAAUGCCAGCGACCUGUCUGCUAAUGAUUCUGUCUAUGUAACUGAUGGCUUACCUUGCUAGCUUUAUGGAAAUGUUAGUGAUGCAUGUGCUUAAUUUUAAGAGAAGUUGAUCAGAAAAAUAAAAAAAUGAAUGAGGG